RNAcentral lists this long non-coding RNA (538 nucleotides) under Brachypodium distachyon (stiff brome). RNAcentral's name for it is "long non-coding RNA (BDIS_LNC000201)". Lineage: Eukaryota; Viridiplantae; Streptophyta; Magnoliopsida; Poales; Poaceae. The record is from RNAcentral.
ACGAACACCACAUGCAUGUACACCACAUGCAUGUGAAAGACAAUUUUCUGCUGAACCAUCUCAAUUAAUAACGACGACCAAACACAUUGGCGUUUGGAGCUAGCAAUGCAUCCAAUUGGUGCGCGGUGCUGCCAUGAAUUGUUUUCGUCCGGUCGACCGAUCACCUGAUUGGCGUUUUUCUGUUACUACCAUGCGUGUUAGCUUAGCUUAACCAUUAAUGUAAUGGUAUGUACGUGAAGCAUAGCAAGGCGCUGCGUGGUUUGCAAGAUUCGCGGCCCCAUUGCUUACUUGCUGUAGACUCCAGCCUCCUGCGGAGCAGUUCGUGUACUGUGCAUUAAUGUUUUUUGAAGAUUUUUUUUAGAGGAAAUGUUUUUUUUAGCGAAGGAAAUGUUUAAGAUGUGCAUCAAUGAAACUUUUACACCUAGGACCAAGGCCCAGCCAGAGGCAACCUGCCCUGGCCCCUGGGCCGCCGGGUGGAAGGGGGCCCUGCCUUGUUCUUUUUCGGGUAAAAAGUAGUUCCUUCCGCGAAUGGCUGACC